AACUCAAAGACAAUCGUGUUGGGGUCGAAGGGAUAAUGUCGCGCUACAGUACAAAGGCAUCUCCUUCCAGGCGACUUCGAGGCGACUCCGUCGCCGGCGUCGAUCUCGCUGGCUGGCCUCUCCUCUGCUUGCCUUUUAGGCACCGGAGGAGUUGGAGAGACAGCAGAUCGACGCCCGGCGGUUGUAGUUCAGUAGGUUUGAGCAUCUGUUGUUGGCGACUCCACCCUCUCUAGCUGGGACUUGGAUAGGGUUCGCCGGGAGUGGCUUCCUCUGUGGCUUGUUUUCCUGGGUGGCGUCGACGAGGCGAAGGCGGCGGCGGCGCUGGGGAAUGUUGUCUCCAGGCUUCUUCCUCGCUCCGGUGGCGCUUCUCUCCUGCGUCGGCGGUGGAGUCGUGGAGUUUUGAGCUGGAGGUCGGGACUGGAGCUUCUUCGCCUUGGUCAGGUGAUGUUGCUGCUGGUCUCCUACUUCUUCAAGGGUAUGGAGCAUGCUUUAAGGUUGGUGGGCGAUGGCCGGCUAGAUCUGAGCCAACCUUUCCUCGACGGCGACGGUGGUCGUCACUGGCGAGCUCAGAUCCAGGAGCUGGAGGAGGCGGGGCGCAGCCCCGGUCGAUGGGCGACCGCCGACGGCUUCUUCAACUUCGACUCCUCUCAAAGCCAGCGUGCGAUGGGUCUUCUUCAGCUCAAGGGGUGCUCGUCUUCCUCUCCGGUGGCGGUGGCCGGCGGCGAGGAGGGCGGUCAGAGGAGGUUUGCGGAAGAUCCAGGAGCAUAUCUGUAAUUUUUGUUUUGGUUGGGUCUCUCGCGAAGUUUGGUUGGCGUAGCUGUAUCCUGUCCGUGCGUGUCUGUAUCCGUAUUUCCUGCUGUAUGUUUUCCUAAACUAUAAAUACUGAUGCGAUAUUAUCAAAAAUAAAAAAAUAAAAAAACUCA
This is a long non-coding RNA of Panicum virgatum (switchgrass), 923 nucleotides long. RefSeq lists it as uncharacterized. NCBI's taxonomy places the organism in Eukaryota, Viridiplantae, Streptophyta, Magnoliopsida, Poales, Poaceae. The transcript has 2 exons. The record is from RefSeq and is a predicted model, not a curated record.